GAUUCCUCUCAGCUUUCCUGUGCUUCCCCCAGCCUCCAGAAGGCCAGUGCGGUAGAGCUGGUAAAGACUCAGAUGCCUCAGAGGUAUUGCUUUUUGCUCUGCUGCUGUCUCCAGCUUUUGGAAGAACCUGCCUUGUAAUCCGUGAGGGCCUGGGGGACUCGAGAGGAAUUUCUUCUAGCUCUCCAGCCUACCUCCAACCUUAGGAAGGUCACUGCCCUCAGAGUACUUGAUUACUCAUCUUUACCAUGCCAGAGAUGAAGGAAGCCAUAGCCUCUUCUCUCCUAGGAAGUGUUUAUCACCUUCUGGAAUUUGCUUUGUUUAGAUUUGUGUCCUCAGCUCUCUGAUGGCAAGAGAAGGCAGUGUGUCUCUGGAAAAUCUUCCCUGGAAUCUGGUGUCCCUGGAAAAUUUUCCAAGUCGCCUAGUGAGACUGGAACAGCUCAGAAGAAACAGUCCACUCACUCAUACAUUCCACAAGCAUGCCUUGGGUACCUACUAGAUAAUGAGACUGCGAUAUAGAGGUAAAAUAAAUUGCCCCAAGUCACAGACGGUGAGAGAGCUGAGACUGAAACCCUGGCUGUCUUAUCCAAGGAAACAAACAACUCGAGACAAGAGAUGUAAAGAAAGGCGAAG
Acinonyx jubatus (cheetah) is the source of this 630-nucleotide long non-coding RNA. RefSeq lists it as uncharacterized. Lineage: Eukaryota; Metazoa; Chordata; Mammalia; Carnivora; Felidae. The transcript is spliced from 4 exons. The record is from RefSeq and is a predicted model, not a curated record.